RNAcentral lists this ribosomal RNA (728 nucleotides) under uncultured bacterium. Its description in RNAcentral is "bacterial SSU rRNA". It matches the Rfam family "Bacterial small subunit ribosomal RNA", at positions 777 to 1530 of the family's 1533-position model. The record is from RNAcentral.
AUUAGAUACCCUGGUAGUCCGCGCGGUAAACGAUGGAUGCCCGCUGUCGGCGAUAUACAGUCGGCGGCCAAGCGAAAGCGUUAAGCAUCCCACCUGGGGAGUACGCCGGCAACGGUGAAACUCAAAGGAAUUGACGGGGGCCCGCACAAGCGGAGGAACAUGUGGUUUAAUUCGAUGAUACGCGAGGAACCUUACCCGGGCUUGAAUUGCAGAGGAAAGAUCCAGAGAUGGUGAUGCCCUUCGGGGCCUCUGUGAAGGUGCUGCAUGGUUGUCGUCAGCUCGUGCCGUGAGGUGUCGGCUUAAGUGCCAUAACGAGCGCAACCCCUUUCCCUAGUUGCCAUCGGUUCUAGCCGGGCACUCUGGGGACACUGCCUCCGCAAGGAGUGAGGAAGGUGGGGAUGACGUCAAAUCAGCACGGCCCUUACGUCCGGGGCUACACACGUGUUACAAUGGGUGAUACAGAGGGCCGGCCGCUGGCAACAUCGGUCCAAUCCUUAAAGUCAUCCUCAGUUCGGACUGGGGUCUGCAACCCGACCCCACGAAGCUGGAUUCGCUAGUAAUCGCGCAUCAGCCAUGGCGCGGUGAAUACGUUCCCGGGCCUUGUACACACCGCCCGUCAAGCCAUGAAAGCCGGGGGCGCCUGAAGUCCGUGACCGCGAGGGUCGGCCUAGGGUGAAACCGGUGAUUGGGGCUAAGUCGUAACAAGGUACCAAGGGCGAAUCGCGGCC